UUAAGCGACUAAGCGUACACGGUGGAUGCCCUGGCAGUCAGAGGCGAUGAAGGACGUGCUAAUCUGCGAUAAGCGUCGGUAAGGUGAUAUGAACCGUUAUAACCGGCGAUUUCCGAAUGGGGAAACCCAGUGUGAUUCGUCACACUAUCAUUAACUGAAUCCAUAGGUUAAUGAGGCGAACCGGGGGAACUGAAACAUCUAAGUACCCCGAGGAAAAGAAAUCAACCGAGAUUCCCCCAGUAGCGGCGAGCGAACGGGGAGCAGCCCAGAGCCUGAAUCAGUGUGUGUGUUAGUGGAAGCGUCUGGAAAGGCGCGCGAUACAGGGUGACAGCCCCGUACACAAAAAUGCACAUGCUGUGAGCUCGAUGAGUAGGGCGGGACACGUGGUAUCCUGUCUGAAUAUGGGGGGACCAUCCUCCAAGGCUAAAUACUCCUGACUGACCGAUAGUGAACCAGUACCGUGAGGGAAAGGCGAAAAGAACCCCGGCGAGGGGAGUGAAAAAGAACCUGAAACCGUGUACGUACAAGCAGUGGGAGCACGCUUAGGCGUGUGACUGCGUACCUUUUGUAUAAUGGGUCAGCGACUUAUAUUCUGUAGCAAGGUUAACCGAAUAGGGGAGCCGAAGGGAAACCGAGUCUUAACUGGGCGUUAAGUUGCAGGGUAUAGACCCGAAACCCGGUGAUCUAGCCAUGGGCAGGUUGAAGGUUGGGUAACACUAACUGGAGGACCGAACCGACUAAUGUUGAAAAAUUAGCGGAUGACUUGUGGCUGGGGGUGAAAGGCCAAUCAAACCGGGAGAUAGCUGGUUCUCCCCGAAAGCUAUUUAGGUAGCGCCUCGUGAAUUCAUCUCCGGGGGUAGAGCACUGUUUCGGCAAGGGGGUCAUCCCGACUUACCAACCCGAUGCAAACUGCGAAUACCGGAGAAUGUUAUCACGGGAGACACACGGCGGGUGCUAACGUCCGUCGUGAAGAGGGAAACAACCCAGACCGCCAGCUAAGGUCCCAAAGUCAUGGUUAAGUGGGAAACGAUGUGGGAAGGCCCAGACAGCCAGGAUGUUGGCUUAGAAGCAGCCAUCAUUUAAAGAAAGCGUAAUAGCUCACUGGUCGAGUCGGCCUGCGCGGAAGAUGUAACGGGGCUAAACCAUGCACCGAAGCUGCGGCAGCGACGCUGAUGCGUUGUUGGGUAGGGGAGCGUUCUGUAAGCCUGCGAAGGUGUGCUGUGAGGCAUGCUGGAGGUAUCAGAAGUGCGAAUGCUGACAUAAGUAACGAUAAAGCGGGUGAAAAGCCCGCUCGCCGGAAGACCAAGGGUUCCUGUCCAACGUUAAUCGGGGCAGGGUGAGUCGACCCCUAAGGCGAGGCCGAAAGGCGUAGUCGAUGGGAAACAGGUUAAUAUUCCUGUACUUGGUGUUACUGCGAAGGGGGGACGGAGAAGGCUAUGUUGGCCGGGCGACGGUUGUCCCGGUUUAAGCGUGUAGGCUGGUUUUCCAGGCAAAUCCGGAAAAUCAAGGCUGAGGCGUGAUGACGAGGCACUACGGUGCUGAAGCAACAAAUGCCCUGCUUCCAGGAAAAGCCUCUAAGCAUCAGGUAACAUCAAAUCGUACCCCAAACCGACACAGGUGGUCAGGUAGAGAAUACCAAGGCGCUUGAGAGAACUCGGGUGAAGGAACUAGGCAAAAUGGUGCCGUAACUUCGGGAGAAGGCACGCUGAUAUGUAGGUGAAGUCCCUCGCGGAUGGAGCUGAAAUCAGUCGAAGAUACCAGCUGGCUGCAACUGUUUAUUAAAAACACAGCACUGUGCAAACACGAAAGUGGACGUAUACGGUGUGACGCCUGCCCGGUGCCGGAAGGUUAAUUGAUGGGGUUAGCGCAAGCGAAGCUCUUGAUCGAAGCCCCGGUAAACGGCGGCCGUAACUAUAACGGUCCUAAGGUAGCGAAAUUCCUUGUCGGGUAAGUUCCGACCUGCACGAAUGGCGUAAUGAUGGCCAGGCUGUCUCCACCCGAGACUCAGUGAAAUUGAACUCGCUGUGAAGAUGCAGUGUACCCGCGGCAAGACGGAAAGACCCCGUGAACCUUUACUAUAGCUUGACACUGAACAUUGAGCCUUGAUGUGUAGGAUAGGUGGGAGGCUUUGAAGUGUGGACGCCAGUCUGCAUGGAGCCGACCUUGAAAUACCACCCUUUAAUGUUUGAUGUUCUAACGUGGACCCGUAAUCCGGGUUGCGGACAGUGUCUGGUGGGUAGUUUGACUGGGGCGGUCUCCUCCUAAAGAGUAACGGAGGAGCACGAAGGUUGGCUAAUCCUGGUCGGACAUCAGGAGGUUAGUGCAAUGGCAUAAGCCAGCUUGACUGCGAGCGUGACGGCGCGAGCAGGUGCGAAAGCAGGUCAUAGUGAUCCGGUGGUUCUGAAUGGAAGGGCCAUCGCUCAACGGAUAAAAGGUACUCCGGGGAUAACAGGCUGAUACCGCCCAAGAGUUCAUAUCGACGGCGGUGUUUGGCACCUCGAUGUCGGCUCAUCACAUCCUGGGGCUGAAGUAGGUCCCAAGGGUAUGGCUGUUCGCCAUUUAAAGUGGUACGCGAGCUGGGUUUAGAACGUCGUGAGACAGUUCGGUCCCUAUCUGCCGUGGGCGCUGGAGAACUGAGGGGGGCUGCUCCUAGUACGAGAGGACCGGAGUGGACGCAUCACUGGUGUUCGGGUUGUCAUGCCAAUGGCACUGCCCGGUAGCUAAAUGCGGAAGAGAUAAGUGCUGAAAGCAUCUAAGCACGAAACUUGCCCCGAGAUGAGUUCUCCCUGAC
This 2791-nucleotide ribosomal RNA is filed under the name Escherichia coli. Its description in RNAcentral is "bacterial LSU rRNA". It matches the Rfam family "Bacterial large subunit ribosomal RNA". The record is from RNAcentral. Lineage: Bacteria; Pseudomonadati; Pseudomonadota; Gammaproteobacteria; Enterobacterales; Enterobacteriaceae.